Anas platyrhynchos (mallard) is the source of this 732-nucleotide non-coding RNA. Lineage: Eukaryota; Metazoa; Chordata; Aves; Anseriformes; Anatidae. The record is from RefSeq and is a predicted model, not a curated record.
CAUGUUUCAAGAACUGGUCCCAUAUGGGUCAGUAACAAGAGGUACAGCAACAGACUUCUCCAGCAUGUGCUCCCCAGAGGCAGAAGACUCACCAGAUUAUCUGCUCCUGUGUUGAAGAUCCUUCUGUUGCUCUAACUUAUAAGUUAGACUAACAAGUAUAUUGCCUCUUUGUUGUAACACACUCACCCUACAGUGACCCAUACUGAACCCUCUGCAAUGGAAGAAGGCUCAGUGGAGAUAGCCAAAGGCUCAUGAAGACUUAGGAAUGACUGACCAGUGUUGCAAAGAAAGCUGAAUUUAUCUCACCACAAAGGAGAUCGAGGGGUAGCCUUUGUUCUAGAUAAAUAGUUGUAUCAGAUGAGUGAAUCAACUGCUUAUAUUAACUGAGUGAAUCAAUCAAGUGAAUAACUGGCCAUGAGUUAAUCAGAAGACUGCCAACAUAUCUAACUUAGCCAUAUCCUUAUGGGUUAUGUAUGUGCAGCUCAGCCCAACAGCGUAUAAGAAAACAAAUAGCAAACAGAAAGAACUCCAAACACAACAACAGGCUUGAGCUGCUUUCAACCCAGGUAUUUCUUCCCAGUAACUGGGGAUGCCUAACAAUGUGACAGUGAGCAUAUUAUACAGACCAGUAAUAAAAUUCACAUUUGUACUGUGAUUCAAUUGUAUAUUGAAAUUGGUACACUCUGCAAAGCAUGUUUGUAAACCUAUUAUAAUUUAGGUACAUCUAUCACU